Molecule: transfer RNA, 74 nt
Filed under: Salmonella enterica subsp. enterica
Lineage: Bacteria; Pseudomonadati; Pseudomonadota; Gammaproteobacteria; Enterobacterales; Enterobacteriaceae
Description: tRNA-OTHER
Source: RNAcentral
GCAUCCGUAGUAAGCUGGAUAGGUACUCAAGCUACGAACCGGCGGUCGAGGUUCGAAUCCUCCCGGAUGCACCA